UUGACAUCAUAAUAAGUGUAUUCUUAUUUCUAUAAUACUAGUUAGUGUAUAAAUGUUUUGAGUAAUUUAGAAAUCACUUACUUAGAAGAAAUAAAGUUGUUUAACAACAAUUUUAAAUACAAAAGUUGUACGAGUAUGUAUUGCGAUGUAAAACAGAAUGUGGAAAGUGUAAAUUGUAUAUAAAUCUUAAUGUUAGUUACGUCGUGUGGUGAAGUUAAUUAACAUGGUUUAUGGCGAGAAAUGUUGAUGGUUAGCAAAGAUAACUUAGUUAUCGCUCGGUAAGCGGGAAAUGGUUGACUAUGUGUUUGCUGGUGCCGAAAAGAUUCAUUUAAUUUUAUUGUAAACGUUAGUUCUGGAUAAAAAUGGUAUGUUUAGAUUUUUAUUCGAAUAGGGUUAUACUUCAUUAUAAUACCCUAGAAUCUAUUUUAUUUCUAUUACAGUCCCCUGAUAACAAAGAUAUAGUAAACAUUAUAAUGAACAGUAUAUAUCAACAGCUACAAGAUAAAGAUUUAUAUUUCAUGAAUGAAAUACAUGUUUUGUGAUGUCUAUCAAUAACCUGAAAUAUCUCAGGAACCUAUGAGAUUAUGAGCACAGAUAUCGUUCAGAUAUUUAGGUACUGUUCGCCGUGAGUAUACAAAUUAGUAUAUAUCGUUAUACAGUGUUGAAUAACAUUACCAAGUCUGUGGACGUUUUCAGCACUGCAGUCAUCGAAGCCUUAUAUGUGCAUGAAGUGUGGACGGAGCUACAAACACAACUCGACUCUGUGGACCCAUCAAAAGUACGAGUGUGGGAAAGAGCCCAGUUUCCAGUGUUCCUUCUGUCCGUACCGCGCUAAGAAGAAGAACAACUUAAAGGCUCAUGUCGUGAUGAAACACGCUGAUCAGUUCAGAGCCGAAAUUGUUGGCUAGAAAAGUGAUUAGACAUUCAGUUAAUGAUACCCUGACAUGAUGGCACAGUUCACCUGCAAGGUGUGCGGGAAGUCCUACAAGAACAGAACAAGCUUGUCGCGCCAUUGCAGGCACGAAUGUAAUGACGCAGAGCCGAAAUUCCAGUGCACUUUAUGCUCCUUCAAGACCAGAAGGAAGGACUCACUCAAGUACCACAUGAUUUUUAAGCACAAUACCAAUGCUUGAUGUGUCUGAUUUAUGUUGUUUCAAUUGUUGAGUGUGAAUAAACAUCUUUUUUCAUUUUA
Homalodisca vitripennis (glassy-winged sharpshooter) is the source of this 1192-nucleotide long non-coding RNA. RefSeq lists it as uncharacterized. Lineage: Eukaryota; Metazoa; Arthropoda; Insecta; Hemiptera; Cicadellidae. The record is from RefSeq and is a predicted model, not a curated record. The transcript has 2 exons.